This is a long non-coding RNA of Arabidopsis thaliana (thale cress), 411 nucleotides long. RefSeq annotates it as other RNA. The transcript has a single exon. The record is from RefSeq. NCBI's taxonomy places the organism in Eukaryota, Viridiplantae, Streptophyta, Magnoliopsida, Brassicales, Brassicaceae.
CUCCGACGUGUUGGGUGUGGGGGAGAUAGGGACGAGAGCAUGAAUCGAUGCGAAACGUAAGGUUUGAACCAUAUCGAAGUGUUCAUUCCCUAAUUGCCAUCCCCCUUAAAUUUUGGGACAUUCAAGAAAUAUUAACAGAGAUAACAUUAUCUGAGUUCAUAACAUGGAUUUACGAGUGGUCGGGUUUGAUCAUACCUAGCAGAGAUAUGGACGAUUGACAAUUGUGUGUUUUUGACGGAUGAGACGUGACAUUAAUAACUUAUACGAUGACACUUAUAUUAAUGCAUGUUGGUGCAUGCUCAAGUCAACAUAAAAUAAGAGGUUUGGAAGCCCAACAAUUGAGCAUAUGUGGGAUAUCUCCGAGGCUCCCCUGCCAAUAAUUUUAAUUAUCUUCCCUUCUUUUUCAUUCUU